Molecule: ribosomal RNA, 510 nt
Filed under: Neonectria sp. FL-2010d
Lineage: Eukaryota; Fungi; Ascomycota; Sordariomycetes; Hypocreales; Nectriaceae
Also listed under: 1 other name
Description: eukaryotic LSU rRNA
Rfam family: 5.8S ribosomal RNA (bases 141-294)
Source: RNAcentral
AUUACCGAGUUUACAACUCCCAAACCCCUGUGAACAUACCCAUCGUUGCCUCGGCGGUGCCCGCUCCGGCGGCCCGCCAGAGGACCCCCAAACUCUUGUUUUAUACAGCAUCUUCUGAGUAACACGAUUAAAUAAAUCAAAACUUUCAACAACGGAUCUCUUGGUUCUGGCAUCGAUGAAGAACGCAGCGAAAUGCGAUAAGUAAUGUGAAUUGCAGAAUUCAGUGAAUCAUCGAAUCUUUGAACGCACAUUGCGCCCGCCAGUAUUCUGGCGGGCAUGCCUGUUCGAGCGUCAUUUCAACCCUCAAGCCCCCGGGCUUGGUGUUGGGGAUCGGCGUGCCCUUCGCGGCGCGCCGUCCCCUAAAUCUAGUGGCGGUCUCGCUGCAGCUUCCUCUGCGUAGUAGCACACCUCGCACCGGAGAGCAGCGCGGCCACGCCGUUAAACCCCCCACUUCUGAAAGGUUGACCUCGGAUCAGGUAGGAAUACCCGCUGAACUUAAGCAUAUCAAUA